This 446-nucleotide ribosomal RNA is filed under the name uncultured bacterium. RNAcentral's name for it is "bacterial SSU rRNA". It matches the Rfam family "Bacterial small subunit ribosomal RNA", at positions 28 to 457 of the family's 1533-position model. The record is from RNAcentral.
GAUGAACGCUGGCGGCGUGCUUAACACAUGCAAGUCGAACGGGAAACCUUUUAUUGAAGCUUCGGCAGAUUUAGCUGGUUUCUAGUGGCGGACGGGUGAGUAACGCGUGGGUAACCUGCCCUAUACAGGGGGAUAACAACCAGAAAUGGUUGCUAAUACCGCAUAAGCGCACAGGACCGCAUGGUCCGGUGUGAAAAACUCCGGUGGUAUAGGAUGGACCCGCGUUGGAUUAGCCAGUUGGCAGGGUAACGGCCUACCAAAGCGACGAUCCAUAGCCGGCCUGAGAGGGUGAACGGCCACAUUGGGACUGAGACACGGCCCAGACUCCUACGGGAGGCAGCAGUGGGGAAUAUUGCACAAUGGGGGAAACCCUGAUGCAGCGACGCCGCGUGAAGGAAGAAGUAUCUCGGUAUGUAAACUUCUAUCAGCAGGGAAGAUAGUGACGG